This is a non-coding RNA of Acanthosepion pharaonis, 111 nucleotides long. Lineage: Eukaryota; Metazoa; Mollusca; Cephalopoda; Sepiida; Sepiidae. The record is from the annotation of a GenBank genome assembly.
UACAGCCACAUCACAUUGAAACACCAGUUCUCAUACAGUCUCCAAAGUUAAGCAAUGUUGAGCUUGAUCAGUACUUGGAUGGGUGGCCAAUUGGGAAUAACAGAUUCUGUA